This 450-nucleotide ribosomal RNA is filed under the name uncultured Glomeromycotina. RNAcentral describes it as "SSU rRNA". It matches the Rfam family "Eukaryotic small subunit ribosomal RNA", at positions 569 to 1024 of the family's 1831-position model. The record is from RNAcentral. Lineage: Eukaryota; Fungi; Glomeromycota.
AGCAGCCGCGGUAAUUCCAGCUCCAAUAGCGUAUAUUAAAGUUGCUGCAGUUAAAAAGCUCGUAGUUGAAUUUCGGGAUCAUCAUGUCGGUCGUGCCUCGGUACGUACUGGCAUUGUUGGUUUCUACCUUCUGACGAACCAUGAUGUCAUUUAUUUGGUGUCGUGGGAAAUCAGGACUGUUACUUUGAAAAAAUUAGAGUGUUUAAAGCAGGCUCACGCUUGAAUACAUUAGCAUGGAAUAAUGAAAUAGGACGUUUGAUUCUAUUUUGUUGGUUUCUAGGAUCGACGUAAUGAUUAAUAGGGAUAGUUGGGGGCAUUAGUAUUCAAUUGUCAGAGGUGAAAUUCUUGGAUUUAUUGAAGACUAACUACUGCGAAAGCAUUUGCCAAGGAUGUUUUCAUUAAUCAAGAACGAAAGUUAGGGGAUCGAAGACGAUCAGAUACCGUCGUAGU